This 253-nucleotide ribosomal RNA is filed under the name uncultured bacterium. RNAcentral describes it as "partial 16S ribosomal RNA". It matches the Rfam family "Bacterial small subunit ribosomal RNA", at positions 524 to 776 of the family's 1533-position model. The record is from RNAcentral.
UACGGAGGUGGCAAGCGUUGCUCGGAAUCACUGGGCGUAAAGGGCGCGUAGGCGGGGAGGUAAGUCGGGUGUGAAAUCCCUCGGCCCAACUGAGGAACUGCGCCCGAGACUGCUUCUCUUGAGUCCCGGAGAGGCAGAUGGAAUUCCGGGUGUAGCGGUGGAAUGCGUAGAGAUCCGGAAGAACACCGGUGGCGAAGGCGGUCUGCUGGGCAGUAGCUGACACUGAGGCGCGACAGCGUGGGGAGCAAACAGG